CUGGCCCUACGGGGCGCAGCAGUGAGGAAUAUUGGUCAAUGGGCGAGAGCCUGAACCAGCCAAGUCGCGUGAGGGACGACGGCCCUACGGGUUGUAAACCUCUUUUGCCGGGGGACAAACGGCGGCACGCGUGCCGUCCUGAGGGUACCCGGAGAAAAAGCAUCGGCUAACUCCGUGCCAGCAGCCGCGGCAAUACGGAGGAUGCGAGCGUUAUCCGGAUUUGUUGGGUUUAAAGGGUGCGUAGGCGGGAUGCCAAGUCAGCGGUCAAAUACGGGGGCUCAACCUGCGCGCGCCGUCGA
This 299-nucleotide ribosomal RNA is filed under the name uncultured bacterium. RNAcentral describes it as "partial 16S ribosomal RNA". It matches the Rfam family "Bacterial small subunit ribosomal RNA", at positions 333 to 630 of the family's 1533-position model. The record is from RNAcentral.